This 84-nucleotide transfer RNA is filed under the name Nitrospinota bacterium. Its description in RNAcentral is "Nitrospinae bacterium tRNA-Leu". It matches the Rfam family "tRNA". Rfam says of the family: Transfer RNA (tRNA) molecules are approximately 80 nucleotides in length. Their secondary structure includes four short double-helical elements and three loops (D, anti-codon, and T loops). Further hydrogen bonds mediate the characteristic L-shaped molecular structure. tRNAs have two regions of fundamental functional importance: the anti-codon, which is responsible for specific mRNA codon recognition, and the 3' end, to which the tRNAs corresponding amino acid is attached (by aminoacyl-tRNA synthetases). tRNAs cope with the degeneracy of the genetic code in two manners: having more than one tRNA (with a specific anti-codon) for a particular amino acid; and 'wobble' base-pairing, i.e. permitting non-standard base-pairing at the 3rd anti-codon position. Lineage: Bacteria; Pseudomonadati; Nitrospinota. The record is from RNAcentral.
GCCGAAGUGGUGGAAUUGGUAGACACGCUGUCUUGAGGGGGCAGUGGCCGCAAGGCCGUGGGGGUUCGAGUCCCCCCUUCGGCA